UUUGUUUGAAGGAAGCCGGAAGCUGAGGAAUGCGUGGCGCGGUUGCGAAAUUCGAAGUAUGAUCAUUCGGAUUAUCUGAGAAAAAAACUCUCGGCGCUUGAUCUGAGGUAACGAACGCACUUCUCCAAGUCUGAAUUUACUAUUCACACUUUUCACUUGAGUGGAUUUGAGGGAGAGUAAUUGAGUGGAUUUUAGAAGAUUUGAAGAUAAUAUUUUUUGUUGUUUAUUUGAGUGAAUUUGGAGGUAAUCGAGAGUGAAUUUAGAAGUAAAUUUUUUUAAUCUGUCACAUAAAUUAAAUCCUAUACUAAUUCUUACAAAUUUUACUUCCAAAUCCAUUCUCGUUUAUCUCCAAAUUCACUCAAAUAAACAACAAAAAAAAAAUUAUCUUCAAAUCCUCUCAAAUCCACUCAAUUACUCCCCCUCAAAUCCACUCAAGUGAACAAAGGCAUUAGGUUGACGAGGAGUGUUGGUCUUGCCGAGGUUCUUUAUUGGUCUAGUAACGAAUUUACCGUAAUUUGAUUUUUGUUGAAAUAAUCUGCAAUUCCUUCUUGAUCAUUCAUAAAAAAGUAGCUUAUAUUGGCUUCUU
RNAcentral lists this long non-coding RNA (586 nucleotides) under Vigna radiata. RNAcentral's name for it is "long non-coding RNA (VRAD_LNC012134)". The record is from RNAcentral. Lineage: Eukaryota; Viridiplantae; Streptophyta; Magnoliopsida; Fabales; Fabaceae.